RNAcentral lists this ribosomal RNA (439 nucleotides) under uncultured bacterium. RNAcentral describes it as "bacterial SSU rRNA". It matches the Rfam family "Bacterial small subunit ribosomal RNA", at positions 340 to 773 of the family's 1533-position model. The record is from RNAcentral.
UACGGAGGGCAGCAGUGGGGAAUAUUGCACAAUGGGCGCAAGCCUGAUGCAGCCAUGCCGCGUGUAUGAAGAAGGCCUUCGGGUUGUAAAGUACUUUCAGUCGUGAGGAAGGUGUUAAGGUUAAUAACCUUAGCAAUUGACGUUAGCGACAGAAGAAGCACCGGCUAACUCCGUGCCAGCAGCCGCGGUAAUACGGAGGGUGCGAGCGUUAAUCGGAAUUACUGGGCGUAAAGGGCACGCAGGCGGUUAAUUAAGUUGGAUGUGAAAUCCCCGGGCUUAACCUGGGAAUGGCAUUCAAGACUGGUUAGCUAGAGUCUUGUAGAGGGGGUAGAAUUCCAUGUGUAGCGGUGAAAUGCGUAGAGAUGUGGAGGAAUACCGGUGGCGAAGGCGGCCCCUGGACAAAGGCUGACGCUCAUGUGCGAAAGCGUGGGGAGCAAAC